CGCGGCCUAUCAGCUUGUUGGUGAGGUAACGGCUCACCAAGGCAUCGACGGGUAGCUGGUCUGAGAGGAUGAUCAGCCACACUGGGACUGAGACACGGCCCAGACUCCUACGGGAGGCAGCAGUGGGGAAUAUUGCACAAUGGGCGAAAGCUUGAUGCAGCAACGCCGCGUGCGGGAUGAAGGCCCUAGGGUUGUAAACCGCUUUCAGCAGGGAAGAAGCCGCAAGGUGACGGUACCUGCAGAAGAAGCACCGGCUAACUACGUGCCAGCAGCCGCGGUAAUACGUAGGGUGCAUGCGUUGUCCGGAAUUAUUGGGCGUAAAGAGCUCGUAGGCGGUUUGUCACGUCUGCUGUGAAAAUCCAAGGCUCAACCUUGGACUUGCAGUGGGUACGGGCAGGCUAGAGUGCGGUAGGGGAGAUGGGAAUUCCUGGUGUAGCGGUGGAAUGCGCAGAUAUCAGGAGGAACACCAAUGGCGAAGGCACAUCUCUGGGCCGUAACUGACGCUGAGGAGCGAAAGCGUGGGGAGCGAACAGGAUUAGAUACCCUGGUAGUCCACGCCGUAAACGGUGGGUGCUAGCUGUGGGCCACAUUCCACGUGGUCCGUGACGAAGUUAACACAUUAAGCACCCCGCCUGGGGAGUACGG
Molecule: ribosomal RNA, 645 nt
Filed under: uncultured Actinomycetes bacterium
Lineage: Bacteria; Bacillati; Actinomycetota; Actinomycetes
Description: bacterial SSU rRNA
Rfam family: Bacterial small subunit ribosomal RNA
Source: RNAcentral